This 451-nucleotide ribosomal RNA is filed under the name uncultured bacterium. RNAcentral's name for it is "partial 16S ribosomal RNA". It matches the Rfam family "Bacterial small subunit ribosomal RNA", at positions 354 to 796 of the family's 1533-position model. The record is from RNAcentral.
GUGGGGAAUAUUGGACAAUGGGGGCAACCCUGAUCCAGCCAUGCCGCGUGUGUGAAGAAGGCCUUUUGGUUGUAAAGCACUUUAAGCGAGGAGGAGGCUUACCUGGUUAAUACCCGGGAUAAGUGGACGUUACUCGCAGAAUAAGCACCGGCUAACUCUGUGCCAGCAGCCGCGGUAAUACAGAGGGUGCAAGCGUUAAUCGGAUUUACUGGGCGUAAAGCGCGCGUAGGUGGCUAAUUAAGUCAAAUGUGAAAUCCCCGAGCUUAACUUGGGAAUUGCAUUCGAUACUGGUUAGCUAGAGUAUGGGAGAGGAUGGUAGAAUUCCAGGUGUAGCGGUGAAAUGCGUAGAGAUCUGGAGGAAUACCGAUGGCGAAGGCAGCCAUCUGGCCUAAUACUGACACUGAGGUGCGAAAGCAUGGGGAGCAAACAGGAUUAGAAACCCUUGUAGUCC